RNAcentral lists this ribosomal RNA (554 nucleotides) under Equus caballus (horse). Its description in RNAcentral is "partial large subunit ribosomal RNA". It matches the Rfam family "Bacterial large subunit ribosomal RNA", at positions 1816 to 2597 of the family's 2925-position model. Lineage: Eukaryota; Metazoa; Chordata; Mammalia; Perissodactyla; Equidae. The record is from RNAcentral.
CACCUCUAGCAUUUCCAGUAUUAGAGGCACUGCCUGCCCAGUGACAUCUGUUUAAACGGCCGCGGUAUCCUAACCGUGCAAAGGUAGCAUAAUCACUUGUUCCCUAAAUAGGGACUUGUAUGAAUGGCCACACGAGGGUUUUACUGUCUCUUACUUCCAAUCAGUGAAAUUGACCUUCCCGUGAAGAGGCGGGAAUGACUAAAUAAGACGAGAAGACCCUAUGGAGCUUUAAUUAACUGAUUCACAAAAAACAACACACAAACCUAACCUUCAGGAACAACAAAACUUUUGAUUGAAUCAGCAAUUUCGGUUGGGGUGACCUCGGAGAACAAAACAACCUCCGAGUGAUUUAAAUCCAGACUAACCAGUCAAAAUAUAUAAUCACUUAUUGAUCCAAACCAUUGAUCAACGGAACAAGUUACCCUAGGGAUAACAGCGCAAUCCUAUUCCAGAGUCCAUAUCGACAAUUAGGGUUUACGACCUCGAUGUUGGAUCAAGACAUCCUAAUGGUGCAACCGCUAUUAAGGGUUCGUUUGUUCAACGAUUAAAGUCUU